UUUGUCCCCCCCUGAGUCAUGUGACAUGUCAACGUUCUGUUGCUAUGCGCGUCACUGCUUUUGCUCCACAGAUCUUGACACUGACAGUUGGAGUUCGUUGGUGCCGUCAUACAAUUGUAAUCAAAUCAUUUUUCUUUUUACAGUACAAAUUUGUAAUACUGUGUUUUUUCCCCCUCAGAAAACUACAUUUAUCAAUCGAUAUGGAUCACUUGAGAGCGGUAUAUCGCUACCUCAGCACAGGUGAGUAUCCUGAACAAGCCACCAAAGAAGAGGGGUAUCAGAAAGAAAGCCAGUACAUUCGUUUUGAAAGGUAAGUACCUGUAUGUCCCUGAGAAGAAUGGAGAGUGUCUCUGUAGGGUUGUGACCGAUGAAGAGGAGAAGACUGCCAUUCUCAAUGAAGUUCACGCAGGACACUUUGGGAUCAAGAGAAUGAUGGGGAAAAUCAUUCAACGAUUUUACUGGAAAGGGAUUGUAAAGGACGUGGAGCAAUGGAUCCUGAAUUGUGAAGCAUGCCAGAGAUUUGAGAGGGUGAAG
Long non-coding RNA from Acipenser ruthenus (sterlet), 534 nucleotides. RefSeq lists it as uncharacterized. The record is from RefSeq and is a predicted model, not a curated record. The transcript has 3 exons. NCBI's taxonomy places the organism in Eukaryota, Metazoa, Chordata, Actinopteri, Acipenseriformes, Acipenseridae.